AACAGGGAAAAGCUUGCUUUUCUGCUGACGAGUGGCGCACGGGUGCGUAACGCGUAUACAAUCUACCUUUUGCUGUGGGAUAGCCCAGGGAAACUUGGAUUAAUACCGCAUAGAAUAUAAGAUCGGCAUCGUUUUUAUAUUAAAGGUUACGGCAAAAGAUGAGUAUGCGUCCUAUUAGCUAAAUGGUGUGGUAACGGCACACCAUGGCUACGAUAGGUAGGGGCCCUGAGAGGGGGAUCCCCCACACUGGUACUGAGACACGGACCAGACUCCUACGGGAGGCAGCAGUGAGGAAUAUUGGGCAAUGGAGGCAACUCUGACCCAGCCAUGCCGCGUGCAGGAAGACUGCCCUAUGGGUUGUAAACUGCUUUUAUACGGGAAGAAACACCGCUACGUGUAGCGGCUUGACGGUACCGUAAGAAUAAGGAUCGGCUAACUCCGUGCCAGCAGCCGCGGUAAUACGGAGGAUCCAAGCGUUAUCCGGAAUCAUUGGGUUUAAAGGGUCCGUAGGUGGAUAAUUAAGUCAGAGGUGAAAUCCUGCAGCUCAACUGUAGAAUUGCCUUUGAUACUGGUUGUCUUGAGUCAUUUGUGAAGUAGUUAGAAUAUGUAGUGUAGCGGUGAAAUGCAUAGAUAUUACAUAGAAUACCGAUUGCGAAGGCAGAUUACUAAACAAUGUACUGACACUGAUGGACGAAAGCGUGGGGAGCGAACAGGAUUAUAUACCCUGGUAGUCCACGCCGUAAACGAUGGUCACUAGCUGUUCGGAUUUCGGCCUGAGUGGCUAAGCGAAAGUGAUAAGUGACCCACCUGGGG
Molecule: ribosomal RNA, 813 nt
Filed under: Gaetbulibacter lutimaris
Lineage: Bacteria; Pseudomonadati; Bacteroidota; Flavobacteriia; Flavobacteriales; Flavobacteriaceae
Description: bacterial SSU rRNA
Rfam family: Bacterial small subunit ribosomal RNA
Source: RNAcentral